CAUUCCUCGACUUACAGACCUCAACUUCUCUCUGCGCUGGCCGGAGUUGCACCUCGAUAGCUCAUUCCGCCACUAUUUAUCUGCCUCAUCGUCUUCAUUCUCAUUCCAGCCUUGACUUACCCAGCAGCCUGAAGGUGGAGAAAGAACACAAAGGAUAGGAAGGUGGAGAUUUUGUUGGUCUCACACUUUGAAACAUUCGUUCCCUGAGCUUUCGUGCUUCGAAUAUGUCAAUCAACUCACUUGGAGAGUAAGAGAGAACGUUGGUUGGGAAGUGAAGCUUGCAGACCUAUUCAGAAUUAAGAACGUUGGUAUUCAAUGUUCAGAGGCUUCAACUUCAGCCCCUACAACAACCAAAACCAAGAAGAGAAGGCAGAAACAAAAAAUUAAAUGAGGAGGAUUAGAAGCCUUUGGGAAGGUAUGAACUGAAGAUGUUAUAGAUGAUUGGCAUUGUUCUUUGUUUUGAUUUUUUUGUGUUGUCAUUGAUCUUAAUCUCAUAUUAUCAAAGUGUUUGUGUUUUCAUUGAAUUUUUUGUUAUGAGUUUGUAAUUGGUUGCAGGUGUUUUAGGAUAGUUAAAAAAAAUCAUUGGUAUAUAGAGUGGAGAAUGACAACAGAAAAAAUAUCUCGGUGACCAAGUACAUGUUUAAGGAGGGCAGCCUUUAUGUGAUUGUGUGUUAAAUGACAUAAUAUUGGCUCAUCACCAACUUCAUUGUUGCUAUUUGCACUUGUGUUUAUGGGCAGCUAAUGCUGGAUUGGAUUUAGGGGGGGAAGAUGGAAGUCUUUUCUAGUUAGCAACUAGUUAGUGCUAAAAUUGUAAAGCAUAUGGAGACACAUGUGUUUUUGGAAUACAAUUGUUAGAUAAUUAUAAUUUUGUGUAAAAAUUUAGAUGAGUGAUGGGCAAUGUAUUUCUACGUACAUGCUAUAUUUGACCAUGAUUAAGACCCCUAAUGCUAUGUUGCUAAUUUGCUAUGCAAUGAGUGACUUGGUGGCUACAUUUAUGGAGGCCGAAGAGUAGGGGUGUAAAUGGGCCGAGUCAAGCCGAAUACUGAGUUGUUCAUGUUUGGCUCGUUUUCAUUCGAUCAAG
Molecule: long non-coding RNA, 1081 nt
Organism: Argentina anserina (silverweed cinquefoil)
Lineage: Eukaryota; Viridiplantae; Streptophyta; Magnoliopsida; Rosales; Rosaceae
Exons: 3
Source: RefSeq, a predicted model, not a curated record